UACGGAGGGGACUAGCGUUGUUCGGAAUUACUGGGCGUAAAGCGCACGUAGGCGGAUUUGUAAGUCAGGGGUGAAAUCCCGAGGCUCAACCUCGGAACUGCCUUUGAUACUGCAAAUCUCGAGUCCGGAAGAGGUGAGUGGAAUUCCUAGUGUAGAGGUGAAAUUCGUAGAUAUUAGGAAGAACACCAGUGGCGAAGGCGGCUCACUGGUCCGGUACUGACGCUGAGGUGCGAAAGCGUGGGAGCAACAGG
Molecule: ribosomal RNA, 251 nt
Filed under: uncultured bacterium
Lineage: Bacteria
Description: partial 16S ribosomal RNA
Rfam family: Bacterial small subunit ribosomal RNA
Source: RNAcentral